RNAcentral lists this ribosomal RNA (342 nucleotides) under Bacillus sp. DJM7. Its description in RNAcentral is "bacterial SSU rRNA". It matches the Rfam family "Bacterial small subunit ribosomal RNA", at positions 858 to 1204 of the family's 1533-position model. The record is from RNAcentral. Lineage: Bacteria; Bacillati; Bacillota; Bacilli; Caryophanales; Bacillaceae.
GCAUACGCACUCCGCCCGGGGAGGACGGUCGCAAGACUGAAACUCAUAGGAAUUGACGGGCGCCCGCACAAGCGGUGGAGCAUGUGUUUUAAUUCGAAGCAACGGUAGAACCUUACCAGGUCUUGACAUCCUCUGUCGACCCUAGAGAUAGCCCUUUCCCUUCGGGGACAGAGUGAUCGGUGGUGUGUGGUUGGCGUCAGCUCGUGUCGGGAGAUGUUGGGUUAAGUCCCGGACGAGCGCAAUUCUUGAUAUUAGUUACCGGCAUUCAGUUGGGCACUCUAAGGUGACUGCCGGAGACAACAGGAGGAGGUUGGCGAGGAGGCAUAAUCAUCCUGCCCUUUU